Long non-coding RNA from Mus musculus (house mouse), 466 nucleotides. RefSeq annotates it as predicted gene, 39707. Lineage: Eukaryota; Metazoa; Chordata; Mammalia; Rodentia; Muridae. The transcript has 3 exons. The record is from RefSeq and is a predicted model, not a curated record.
UAUGUCCCAGCGUUUAUGACAGUGUUCUGAGCUGCCACUCUCAGAGCCCCAGAAUAAGGAAGGAAAUAGCAUCAGAGUGACACCCAAGUCACCCUUCCACUGGAUCCCAAGCCUUCUCAGUCUGCACAACAGGAAUGGACCAAGACCAAUGCAACAGAAGAUAUAACAUCUAAUAUAGAACUAGCAGGAGGACUUGUCAUGUCCUCUCCUUUAGAGUGCUCGGACACCCCUCUCCUCCCAGGGCUCUGGCAUUUAUACCCUCUCCAGAGUCCUCAGGAUUAAACUCUCCAAAGCUGGCAGAAUCACAAUCUUGCCAGAGCAUACACGAGGCAAAUAGUCAGCGGCUGUGGAUAAUCUGCGGCAGCCCCUACAUCCCACACCUGGGGUUGAAACAAUGAACAGAACUGGAUUUGUAAAGGAAACCAAAACUCUCACUACAGAGGGCCUUGGAGUUCCCUAGAACUGG